This is a long non-coding RNA of Oryzias melastigma (Indian medaka), 583 nucleotides long. RefSeq lists it as uncharacterized. The record is from RefSeq and is a predicted model, not a curated record. The transcript is spliced from 3 exons. Lineage: Eukaryota; Metazoa; Chordata; Actinopteri; Beloniformes; Adrianichthyidae.
GCGGAUAAUCUUGUGUCAUUGUCAAUUUUGUCAAUAAAGUUUUUUAUGACAAACUACGUUAAGUAUGGCCGCUAGAUGUCGCUAGUUCAGCGUCACAGCUUUGAAACACACGAAGAAGAAAGGGACAUCAGUGAGUGGAGCGGGGGGAGGAAAAACAAGAGUAAACUUGUUAGUUAUCAUGGCGUUUUAGUUUAGAUAACAGUUAUAUUUAGAUUAUAAACUAUCUACCGUCGUGUUUCGAACGAGCUUUAGUUACGAUUUAGAUGCCUUUUCUUGUCCUUUCUCGGAACAAACAGACAUUUCUUUUCUUUCGGAAUGCUGUCAGCGACCAUGUUGGCCAGAACAGCCCUGAGCAGAGGCGUUACUGCCCAGCACCUGUGUAAAAACGUAACUCUGUAUAUGAAUGAACUGACGGCUACCGGUUCGGAAAGUCCGAGUCAGACCUCCAAACCACUGAUGCUGAUGCUGCCGUGGUUAGGUUCACGUCCACAAGCUGUGGCCAAGUAUUGUGAGAUCUACUUUCGCACCGGCUUCGACGUCCUUGUGGUGGAGAGUGAGGUAAAGGAUUUCCUGUGGCCUCGAU